This 364-nucleotide long non-coding RNA is filed under the name Mytilus galloprovincialis (Mediterranean mussel). The record is from RNAcentral. Lineage: Eukaryota; Metazoa; Mollusca; Bivalvia; Mytilida; Mytilidae.
GAUUGAAGCAUUUUCGGGAAUUUUAAGUGAUAGUUUCAAGUGUGUAAUUUUGUAUACUCAUGUAGAAAUCUUUUUUAAAAUGUUUCAAAAAAAAUGUUUUUUAAAGAUUUUUUCCAGCUGAACUGAAAUCGAGCACAUUGAACAAAUACCAUACUCUGUGGUCUAUGAUUAUUAAUAACGACCCUAAUAAAAGAGGAGCGAAAGAUACCAGAGGGACAUUCAAACUGAUGAAUCGAAAAUAAACUGACAACACCAUUGCUAAAAAAGAAAAAUACAAAGACACAAACAAAAGUAUACAAGACACAACAUAGAAAACUAGAGACUAUGCAUGUUUAUGCAUAUUUGUUCAUGUUUUAAGGCAGCA